Non-coding RNA from Leptonychotes weddellii (Weddell seal), 286 nucleotides. The record is from RefSeq and is a predicted model, not a curated record. Lineage: Eukaryota; Metazoa; Chordata; Mammalia; Carnivora; Phocidae.
UCAUUCAGAAGCUCUCACCAUUCUCGGUUCUCUUGUCUGCUUUCCAAAUACCUACCGGGACAUCCCUUUACUGCAGUCUGUGCCAGAAGUCAAGAAAGUCAUCACAGGAACUGAAGAUGUCAAGCAUUACCUCAUAAAUAUUUUACUGAAGAAUGCCACAGAGGAACCAAAUGAAUGUGCAAGAUGCAUUGCCAUUUGCUCCCUCGGGGUCUGGAUAUGCGAAGAACUGGCACAGUGUACAAGCCAUCCUCAGCUGAAAGAGGCCAUCAAUGUGAUAGGCGUCACU